CUCCUCACUGGGCAGCAGGAGCGGCGCGGCGGUCGAAGAAGCGGUCUAAGACUUCGGCAUUGGGUAAAAGAAAAUGGCCCGAACCAAGCAGACUGCCCGUAAAUCCACGGGUGGGAAAGCGCCCCGCAAACAGCUGGCCACUAAAGCGCCCGGAAAAGCGCCCCUUCCACCGGUGGGGUGAAAAAACCUCAUCGCUACAGGCCCGGCACCGUCGCGCUUCGGGAGAUCCGUCGUUACCAGAAAUCCACCGAGCUUCUGAUCCGGAAGCUGCCUUUCCAGAGGUUGGUGAGGGAGAUCGCCCAGGAUUUCAAAACCGAUCUGAGGUUUCAGAGCGCCGCCAUUGGCGCCCUUCAGGAGGCCAGGGAAGCGUACCUGGUGGGUUUAUUUGAAGAUACUAAUCUGUGUGCCAUCCACGCUAAGAGAGUCACCAUCAUGCCCAAAGACAUCCAGUUGGCUCGCCGGAUACGGGGAGAGAGAGCUUAAGUGAAGGCAGUUUUUAUGGUGUUUUGUAGUAAAUUCUGUAAAAUACUUUGGUUUAAUUUGUGACUUUUUUUGUAGGAAAUUGUUUAUAAUAUGUUGCAUUUGUACUUAAGUCAUUCCAUCUUUCACUCAGGAUGAAUGCGAAAAGUGACUGUUCACAGACCUCAGUGAUGUGAGCACUGUUGCUCAGGAGUGACAAGUUGCUAAUAUGCAGAAGGGAUGGGUGAUACUUCUUGCUUCUCAUGAUGCAUGUUUCUGUAUGUUAAUGACUUGUUGGGUAGCUAUUAAGGUACUAGAAUUGAUAAAUGUGUACAGGGUCCUUUUGCAAUAAAACUGGUUAUGACUUGAUCCAAGUGUUUAACAAUUGGGGCUGUUAAGUCUGACCAUACAUCACUGUGAUAGAAUGUGGGCUUUUUCAAGGGUGAAGAUACAAGUCUUAACCACAGUGUAACUUACAGUUUCCUUAAAAAAAAAA
Molecule: RNA transcript, 955 nt
Organism: Enhydra lutris kenyoni (northern sea otter)
Lineage: Eukaryota; Metazoa; Chordata; Mammalia; Carnivora; Mustelidae
Gene name: histone H3.3-like
Exons: 1
Source: RefSeq, a predicted model, not a curated record